UACGUGGGGGGCGAGCGUUGUCCGGAUUUAUUGGGCGUAAAGAGCGUGUAGGCGGUUCGGUAAGUCUGUCGUGAAAUCCUGAGGCUCAACCUCGGGCGUGCGAUGGAUACUGCCGGGCUAGAGGGUGGUAGAGGCGAGUGGAAUUCCCGGUGUAGCGGUGAAAUGCGCAGAUAUCGGGAGGAACACCAGUAGCGAAGGCGGCUCGCUGGGCCACACCUGACGCUGAGACGCGAAAGCUAGGGGAGCGAACAGG
Molecule: ribosomal RNA, 253 nt
Filed under: uncultured bacterium
Lineage: Bacteria
Description: partial 16S ribosomal RNA
Rfam family: Bacterial small subunit ribosomal RNA
Source: RNAcentral